Molecule: long non-coding RNA, 1860 nt
Filed under: Carica papaya (papaya)
Lineage: Eukaryota; Viridiplantae; Streptophyta; Magnoliopsida; Brassicales; Caricaceae
Description: long non-coding RNA (CPAP_LNC008143)
Source: RNAcentral
UCUAAUCUUUUCUCUAUCUUGAAGUCUCUCCUGCACAGUUUCCUAAAUAAAGUUAUGCAAAAGUUUUAGUGAAUAAAGCAUUUAUCGUUAGUGGAUUUCUCAAUAUAUAGCUUACUUGAUUCUGAAUAUUGUUACACUUUAUUAUUCCUCAAUAUUUCUUAUGAGCUCAUUGUAUAUAUAAAAAUAUUAAAAUAUUAUGUAUAGAUGGAUACAGAAACAUAUAAACAAUAUAUAAAGGGAUCAAGAUGCAAUUUCUUAUCAUGAUUAAUAAUAUGAGCAAAAUUGAUAAUCACUAUACAGUAGUUAAUAAAAUGGAUCCUACCAGUGAGAGAUUUGCCCCAGCAACCCAUGCCCUAUUUACUUCUAGGGAUUCCCAGCCCUCAAUCAAAUUCCUGGCUCCGCUAAUGGAUACCAGCCAUCUACAAGAUUGGUUUUUGGUGGUUCAAAAUAUUUCAAGAAGUUCAUAUACUUCUUCAUUCACUCAACAUUCAUCAAAGCACUUGAGAAAUCAACCGCUUGGAGGAAAAAAAAAAAGAAACAUGCACAUUCAAUAUUUUUUCUCAAAUUUUUUCAGAAAAGGCAAGGGUCCUCAGUAGUUAAACUGAGCAUGUUGCAGUAAAUAUGUUAGAAUAGCAGCACUUAAAUCUUUCCUUCUUUCUAUUUAUAAAUGCAAAUGGAGAAAUCAAGAGAGACAAAUGCAACAAUCAUUUUAAUAAUUAAGCUGAAAGCAGUUAAUCAUAACCAUCCAUGCCAGACUUCGUAUUAUCACACUCUUUCUUUCACCUUCUAAAUUGAUUUCAGAUGGACUCAAGCUGAGAAGUUACCUGAACCUGCUAAUAGAACUUGAAAUGACAAAUUGUACGAUGGUAUAGGAAAAAGACUAGUUAGUAGAUUUGCCGCUUGCUUACUUCCAAGUUCCCAAAUUUAGCACUCAUUCAAUAACACCUCUUUACAAAUAUCAGGAGAUCAGCACAAAGAACUCCAUCUGACUAAUAAAUGUUGUAUCUAAAUCAAUUACUUGAACUUCAAUAAAUGUCCAAGGCAUACGAAAACUAGUCUUGUCUGGAUGGAACACAAAAAAAAACCUUUAUAGUGAUUUAAAUUUUCCAGGCCCUUGACAAGUAGACUUUCGCACAAUAACAUUCAACAAUCACCAAGAAUAAAUGAUUUCUAGUAACCAAAAACCCUGUAUUUUAAUUUUAAUAAUGAACUUUUAAAGAUUUACUCUCAAAACUUAAACCUAGUUUUCAUUUGACAGCUUAUCCUUGACUAUAAAAACACCCGACAGAAAACAAAUAUACUACUACAAUCAGGGGAAAUUAAUAACCUUGGUCCAAAAACUAAUUAACCCAGAAAAAAAAAGUUCCAUACUGAUUAUCAGCUUCUGGUUCCGGCAUUUUUUCCGGCAACCAAACAAAACCCAUAAGAAAUAUAACCCAGUCAGUAGAAAAUUAAAUCAAACCCACUUAAUCUUUUCGAUAAAACAAACAUAAUCACAAAAAAAGAACAGAGACAAAACCGCACCUCAUACUGAGUUCACAACCCGUGUAACCAGAAAGAUAGAAGCUCAGAUCCUGACUAUGAACACCACAUAUCCUUUUUACAUUGUAUAACCCAGAAAAUAUAGAGGUGAAGAGAUCGAAUAUGGAUGAGACGGGGGAAAAAGGAAGCUCUUCAAGUUCUUCUUCUCUGACGAAUUUAUGAGAGAAGAAUAGGAGAAUCGAUAAUAUAGAUAGGUAAGCUGAGAAAACUGAGAUUUUUACUCGAGAUUUUUGGAGUGAUAGCUGGUAAGUAUCAGGGGUUUUACUUGUGUGCGGAAAUUAUUUUGGGCUGUAAAAUGUAGCAUUCAUUGCCAAGNNN